Molecule: ribosomal RNA, 495 nt
Filed under: uncultured bacterium
Lineage: Bacteria
Description: partial 16S ribosomal RNA
Rfam family: Bacterial small subunit ribosomal RNA
Source: RNAcentral
GAUGAACGCUGGCGGCGUGCCUAAUACAUGCAAGUCGAGCGAGCAGAUGAGGAGCUUGCUCCUCUGACGUUAGCGGCGGACGGGUGAGUAACACGUGGAUAACCUACCUAUAAGACUGGGAUAACUUCGGGAAACCGGAGCUAAUACCGGAUAAUAUAUUGAACCGCAUGGUUCAAUAGUGAAAGACGGUUUUGCUGUCACUUAUAGAUGGAUCCGCGCCGCAUUAGCUAGUUGGUAAGGUAACGGCUUACCAAGGCAACGAUGCGUAGCCGACCUGAGAGGGUGAUCGGCCACACUGGAACUGAGACACGGUCCAGACUCCUACGGGAGGCAGCAGUAGGGAAUCUUCCGCAAUGGGCGAAAGCCUGACGGAGCAACGCCGCGUGAGUGAUGAAGGUCUUCGGAUCGUAAAACUCUGUUAUUAGGGAAGAACAAAUGUGUAAGUAACUAGGCACGUCUUGACGGUACCUAAUCAGAAAGCCACGGCUAACUACG